RNAcentral lists this ribosomal RNA (429 nucleotides) under bacterium. RNAcentral describes it as "partial 16S ribosomal RNA". It matches the Rfam family "Bacterial small subunit ribosomal RNA", at positions 355 to 776 of the family's 1533-position model. The record is from RNAcentral.
UAGGGAAUCUUCGGCAAUGGGGGCAACCCUGACCGAGCAACGCCGCGUGAGUGAAGAAGGUUUUCGGAUCGUAAAGCUCUGUUGUAAGAGAAGAACGUGUGUGAGAGUGGAAAGUUCACACAGUGACGGUAACUUACCAGAAAGGGACGGCUAACUACGUGCCAGCAGCCGCGGUAAUACGUAGGUCCCGAGCGUUGUCCGGAUUUAUUGGGCGUAAAGCGAGCGCAGGCGGUUUAAUAAGUCUGAAGUUAAAGGCAGUGGCUUAACCAUUGUUCGCUUUGGAAACAGUUAAACUUGAGUGCAGAAGGGGAGAGUGGAAGUCCAUGUGUAGCGGUGAAAUGCGUAGUUAUAUGGAGGAACACCGGUGGCGAAAGCGGCUCUCUGGUCUGUAACUGACGCUGAGGCUUGAAAGCGUGGGGAGCAAACAGG